AACGGAAGGAAGUAGGAAUUCCAACACCCGUUCCUUCCGGGACCUAGGAAGAAGCCUCCUGCUUCUGAGCCCGAGGAUUUGUUGCUGGCCAGUGCUGUAACUGGACGUCUCGGGAGAAGGAGCGAAGCCUGGACCCUGCUCAGCUGGCUUUGUACAGAGAUUGGAGGCUGCAGAAUUGCAGCAUUCUGGUUGCUGUGGAGCUCACUGAUAAGCCAGACCUGCUCACUUUUGAAGCUCCCUGGAAGGUGAAGAGGAAGGAGACAGAAGCAAAUGUACCAGGAACCCAAAGGAAGUAACUGUCAAGCUGUGGUUGAGAAGGCAUCUCUUCAGCCCACUGGGGAGUCCUCAGAUUUUAAACUAUCUGCAGCUGGCAAAGAGCUUCUCUCAGAGUCCACACAAAGGAAAUAGCCUGCUGCUGUGGACCAUCUGAAUCAGCCCCACAUUCUACACCUGGGACCAAAACAAAAACAUGUUUAUAUCCA
Meriones unguiculatus (Mongolian gerbil) is the source of this 482-nucleotide long non-coding RNA. RefSeq lists it as uncharacterized. The transcript is spliced from 5 exons. The record is from RefSeq and is a predicted model, not a curated record. NCBI's taxonomy places the organism in Eukaryota, Metazoa, Chordata, Mammalia, Rodentia, Muridae.